This 2496-nucleotide long non-coding RNA is filed under the name Takifugu rubripes (torafugu). Its description in RNAcentral is "lncRNA (ENSTRUG00000030099.1)". Lineage: Eukaryota; Metazoa; Chordata; Actinopteri; Tetraodontiformes; Tetraodontidae. The record is from RNAcentral.
GGCCCUGGGGAUUCUGGUGGCUUUUAAAAGACACUCAAUUCAAAGGCCGGUGUCUUGAAUCACAUUUUGGAAUUGGCUUGUGCUUUUUCCUGCUAAUUUUCUUCGCUCCUAAUUAACAUGCCAUGAAAACUCUAAAAUCAGCACAAUAUGAAAGACAUUUGCCUCUUUGUAACAGCAGAUCGGGGUGCAGGAAGAGCACUGAUGUGACUUUAUUGAUGACAUGCUGGGACAGAUUAAAUAUAGAAGUAACGUAAUUAAGCCUGAGUUUACUGUCUAUAAUGAGUCCCCUGUAUUUGAGAUCACUCAGCUGCCAUUAAUGAAUGUUUGAUUUCAGUCCACCGCAGGCUUGACUGCAGCUCCGGUAAUCAAUUACAGCUAGUUUGCUGUCUUGAACGUAAUCCAUGUGCAGCCAGGAUUCCAACCAAGUGAUGUGAAGCGAAGGCAAAGUAGUGUUGGCGGAAAGACCUGUUAAAACUCAAGACGUGACCCAAGAAGACAGACAAGGAAGGCAGCGUACAACGGUCCACGUUCUACUCGUGAAUACGACAGUGAACCAAGCCAAAACCCAGUAAGAUGCUUCAAGCUGAGGGAAGACGUGGUGACCUAAAGGCAAGAGAAGAAAAGGCAACGAGCUCAAGGAAUCAAAGCCUGGAGCACUCAGGUGUAGAGGCAGCCAGCACGAGAGAUGGAUCAACCACGCCCCUAGAGGACAAAAUAGAGCAUCGCAGCCAAACACAGACCAGACACAGGAUCAUAACAACACCAAUACCCCAUCUCAUCUCAUCUGCCAAGAAAAAAUGAAAGAUAUAAAUUCAGUGAAGCCUUGAUUUAAGCCAAGGAGAAGCAACAGGUUUUCCUGAGAGAAGUUAAUGCUGACAGUUAUCUGAGUUCGAAAGAGCAGAAGCUAAAUAAAGGUCAUACGAGUAAAGAAACACACACACACACACACACACACACACACACACACACACACACACACACACAAACACAUACUUGUUGCAGCACCAUUUUAUUACUAACAAUGGUUCUACUACAGAAAUCACCCAACUGACGCUACCCCAGGCGACCAGUUUCAUUCCCGGUUGACAUCAUGAGUAUCAUCAUUAGAAAACCGGAAUACCAUUAUGGGGAAAGCUCAAAAGGAAUCCAAUUGUACUUGUAGCAAUUCCAUUGACAAAUAACUUCUUUUUAUUUUUGACAAUUCGCCCUGCUUCUAAAAACUGUUCAGCCACAAUCACUUUUGUGCUGCUUGUUUCACUUUCAUAUUGGAGCAUGAGCCUUGAGCAGCUCCAGCAGUGAACGUGGGAAGGCACAAAUGUCACAUAAAAGAAGGACAUUAGUGUUUGAUCGCGUUAAUCCCAUACGCGCUGGUUCAAGUCAUUGUAAAGCAUAUUUGAAUGUGUCGUUCGCACCCAGCAGACGUCACAGCGUUUCUGAACGCAGCUCCCAAACGGAAACAGCUUUAAUUGAACCUGCUUCUUUGUAUCCCAGCUGAUUUUAAUUGUCCUUCAUCAGGGCUCCAGCAUGCUCUCAACGUUCUCACGUGGCAGAACAUGAGCCUAUGUAAUAAGUUUCUCUCUGUUUCCCACCAACGGUACCAAAAACAAAACACAGCACAAAAAAUGAGACUGUGAAACAUAAAGGAACAAAUCUUGGCUGAAGCAGAUCAUGUUUCUCUGAGAGCAAGUGUGAACGAGAAAAUUCUCUUACAAAUACAUAAAUUCAGAUGUUUCCAGCUACCUGUAUUUAUUUUAUCGAUUUUAAACCAGGAUAAAUGUUUAGGUUUUGACUCAGGAUUUAACUGUACAAAAAGCUCUGAUCAAGCGGCCUAAAUAAUUUAUUUAUGCUGUCAAAUUCUAAAAUUCACACUGAAAACAAACAUUUUCACUUCAAAAGAUAGCGUGCAGGUGGAUUUCUUUGGCUGCCGUUCACACAUACCACCAUUCCAAAAAUGAACACACUUUGUUCAGAGGAAGAACUGCUGUUGCAUCUGAGGACGAAAGAGUUGAAAGUUUGGGGACAAAAAUAUGACAGAGAAAGCAGAACCUCCCGCAUGUGCUCAAUGCAUAAGAAUUAGCAAUGAGGCAACAGCAGGCAUCUGCUGGGCACAUGCUAUGCUUUUAAUAGAGACCCGCCGUGGCCCUGUUUAGUCACGGAACCCCUUUAGCAUCUCUCACUUGUACAUGUGACGAAUGUACUAGUACAUUCCAUGCGUGAAAAAUGCUGAGUCAGCAGGAAUAAAUGCACAUUUACAUCACGCUAUCUGUCCUUUUUUGGACUGAAGCCAUUGCACUAUUCCCUCGCUGUUUGAGCGAUUAUAUACAGUAUAAUUCUUUUUUUUGGGGGGGGGGGGGCGGUUAUGGAUUAAGUGAAAACCGUACUACAUGCUGAUAUCCUACAUUUUGACAAUUUCUAACACUCCACAGCAUCUAAAUGAGACCAUCCGUGACUUUUACUGAGCUGCACCUUCAUCCUCUCCUCACCUUAGCCGUGCAG